This is an RNA transcript of Ictalurus punctatus (channel catfish), 4251 nucleotides long. It is a transcript of the gene named centlein, centrosomal protein, with no coding region annotated. NCBI's taxonomy places the organism in Eukaryota, Metazoa, Chordata, Actinopteri, Siluriformes, Ictaluridae. The transcript has 30 exons. The record is from RefSeq and is a predicted model, not a curated record.
AAAUGUCGCAAAGACGGCAACACGGAAAACGGCGCGUCGGUUUGAAAGAGUAAACAAACAGUUAGCAACGCUUCGAUUAGAUUCCGAUUAAAAAUGAUGACCGCGUGAUUUACUUGAUCAGAAUGUGUUUAUGAGACUUUAUUUUACAGUGAUGUUUAUUUUAGACUCUCGUCUUCUGUAAACUGUUUCUGUUUCUUCACGGUCGGGAUUUGAAUGCAUUCUUUUAGCAUCUCUGAUCCAGUGACGCUGCGCGCAUCAGAUGAUGUCCUCCAGUGAGAGACAGAGAGAGCUGCUGCUGCAGGAGGAAGUCAGGAGUCUGAGUCAGGAGCUCGCUCAGUGUCAGGCGGAUAAGGAGUUUGUGUGGUCGCUAUGGAAACGGCUCCAGGCGGCGAAUCCGGACCUGACGCAGGCCGUGAGUUUAGUGGUGGAGCGUGAGAAACAGAAAGCGGAAGCUAAAGAUCGGAAAGUUCUGGAAAUCCUGCAAGCGAAAGAUUACAAGAUCCAGGAGCUGGAGAAGGAAGUGACGUCACAGCGACAGGAAGUGAGCGGACUCCUGCAGCAGCAUCGUGUUGGUGAAGAUGAGCGCCAUACGAUGAAGAAGGAGCUGGUAGAACUUCAGCACACACUGAGUGAUGCAACACGACGCCUACAGGAGUGUGAUGAUGGGUGGAGGAGGAGAUUGGAGGCGCAGCAGGAGCAGAGCAGGAAGCAGGAGGAGACAAAUAACACCAGACUCAAGGAGUGUGAUGAUGGGUGGAGGAGGAGGUUGGAGGAGUAUCAGGAGCAGAGCGGGAAGCAGGAGGAGGUGAACAACGCACGACUUGGGGAGGUGCAGGAGCAGUUGGUGAAGGUUCAGGCCAUCAACUCGUCUCUCUCUAUUCAGCUCAGUUCAGUUCAGCAAAAGCUCAGUGAGAGAGAACAGCAGCUCCAGCAGCUCAGGCGUGAGCUGCAGGAUCUUCAGUCUCUGUAUGUACAAAGUGUUGCUCACGCAGGAGAGCAGGCAGAACUCAUCCAGCAGCUGGAAGGUCUCAACAUGGACACACAGCAGAUCCUGCAGAGCCAGGAGAAAGUACACACCACACACACUGCCUCGUACCACAAGUUGUACAGUGAGCUAAGUGUGUCCUAUCAGGCUCUCCGUCUCAGUGAGGAGCAGCUUCGACAGAAGGACGCCUGUCUCACUGAACAGCUUUGUCAGAAGGAACAGCAGGUCUCUGAACUUCAGGUCCAACUUCAAGAGCUCCAACAGCUUGUAACAUCUAACCCACCCGCCCCCAAGCAGAAGAUUGAGCAGGAGUGUGUGGAGGCAGCAGAGAGUCAAGUGUGUGUGUCUCACCCUCCAUCAUCUGACAUUCAGAGCUGUGGAACACACACACAGCAGUGUUUCAGGUCUGUCUCUCCAAGCAGCAGUAGAGCAGCUGAGAAGAAAAUCCAACAGUUGGAGGAGUUACUCGCUCUCAAGUCGGCAGAGAACGAGGAGCUAAGGCGAGUUCAUGCAAAGCGUCACGAUCGUCUGCGUCUGAUUCAGACCAACUACAGAGCGGUGAAGGAGCAUCUGAGGGAGGUGGAGGACACACAGGGCCAACCAAAAGGCAGGACGAGGCGAGCUGAGCCAUGGGAGCUCCGUCAGGAGAACAGCGAUGCGGUUUGGAACGAGUUGGCCUUCUUUAAACGUGAGAACAAGAAGCUCCUUGCUGAGAAAGCUCAGCUGGAGGAGGAGUUGGAUGUGGCCCGUGUUCGAGUGGCCAUGGAGCGAGCUACAGCGCAGGAGCUACGGCUGCGUCUGCACGAGGAACACCAAGAGCAGCAGCUGAAUGAUGAUGAAGAUGACAGAGUGAGCAGCACACCACUACCUCCUGUACACACACUACACCACUCUGUUAGAAAGAUCGAGGUAUUGGAAAGGAAGAUGGUGUGUCUGGAGAGAGAGAUGUUGAAGUUGCGAGAGGACAAGCAGGCCCUUGAGGACGCUAACAGUUUCUUGCGUAGCGAGAGGACGGAGCUCCAGGCAGCGCUGCAGCAGGCCCGUGUGUGUGAGGAAGCGACCCAGGCUUGGGUGAGUGCUGAGCGGGACAAGCUGCUAGGCGAGGCCCGGGCUCUACAGGCCCAGCUGCAGAAAUCGAGGAGAGCAGAGACGGUGUCUCGGGCAGCAUUACUGAGGAUCAGACAGGAAGCGGGAGUACUGAGGGCCGAGAGGGACUUCCACAGGAACAAGACACGGAGAGGACGAGGACGCGGGACACACACCAUAACGCACACCAUUUCGGUGCAGCCGAGGACACGCAGCCCGGCCAAGGAUGAGUGGGAGGACAUGAGUCCAGACAGUGACAGUGAGGAUUUCUCCGACAGUCUGCAGAGUCAGCGUGCUGCUGCUUCUCCCCGCGCUGCUGCUCAGUCAGAGGCCUGCACAGCACUCCCUCACCGACACACCCUCAGAGACAACUCCACUGAUCCCAGGUCUCGCAGCACAGGAGUGUGUGAGGAUGCAGCGGUGAAGAAGAGGCGGAUGAUGAUGAACAGGAGGAGUGUGUGUGUGGUGAUGAAGGGAGCAGGAGUGUGUGAGGAUGCAGUGGUGAGGAAGAGGAGGGUGAUGAAGAGGAGACGCGUGUGUGCCGUGUUCACUCAGAGGCUCGCCUGUCUGCAGCAGCAGGUCGCAGCUCUACAGGCAGCCAGCAGGGCGGCGCACGAAGAGCGACUCAAAUACCAACACACACACUCUGAACUGCAGUCUCUGACACACACACUGCAGAAGCAGACGUGCGAGUUGGCGAUGCUGCAGCAGCAGAAGGCCGUGUUGGAGGCGGAGUUAGAGCGGUGGAGGAAGUCCCGCCCCCCUGAAGUGCAACAACAAGCGUCUGUCACUGUGUCUGCCCCCAACCCUGACCUCCCGAACAUCAAAACACUGGAGACUGAAAUCAAACAGCUUAACAACAGGCUGAAGAGCUCGAGUGCCGAGGUGAGCCGUCAGACUGCUUUGAUCAAAGGCCUCAGGACGGAGCUGCAUGACAAAGACCAACGCCUUAAGGAGCUACAGGACAAGGUGUGUCACUGUGAGAGGGAUGUGGUGAUGAAGAGACAGUUGGUGGAGGAUCUGCGCAGUCGGUUGAAGAUUCUGCAGGAUUCAGAGCAAAGCCAUCGCUCACACAUCGAUGAGCUGGAGAGAAAGGUGAAGAGUCAGUGUGAGGAAGCAUCCAACAGGAAGUCAUUUAUUGAGUCUCUGAAGAGGAGGCUGAGCGUCGCGACUGACACCAAACAGCAGUGUGAGAGCUCCAACAGCACACUCCAAGACCUGCUACGCACCAAGGAGCAAAAGCUAACAGCACUGCAGGCCCGGUUGGCGGAGUGUGAGAGGUCAAAGGUCAAGCUGGAGCAGACGGCAACAUCGCAGAUGCAGCUUCUGACCAAUCAGAGCACAGAUGCAAUACGCACACUGCAGAACAAACUCACACUGGCACAGACUCAACACCAACACCUGCGUUCAGUCACCCUGGCUUUGGCUGUAGAGGUGGACAGAGAAGUGAGGGAGACCCGAGCUGAGCUGAGAAAGAGGAGGAGAGAGAGGAAGAAGAAGGAGGGAUCAGGAAGAGGAGGAGUGUCCAAGAGCUCCAUGGUGAAAGCGCAGUCCAUCGCUGCAUCCAUCCUCAAUGUCAGUGCUAACGACCUGGCUAGCAUUCUGGACACAGACCAGGAGGAAGAGGGUGAUGAAGAAGCAGAUGGAGUUUGGAUGGAUCACAUACAGCAGCUCCUAGAGCAGCAGAUGUUCUAUGAUGUUCUGCCACGUUCACCACCUGCUAUAUCGUCGUCAUGGUCACAGCUCAGGUGUUCCAGUGGGACGGAGGGUGCCUGAGUAGUGAGGAUGAAGUGGAACAGGAAGUGUGUUUCACAUACACAGUGGUCAUUGCGUUUGAAUGGGUUGAACCCUGGUGUGUUUUUCCGCCACAGUGCGCUUCUUUGGGCAGUGUGUCUCUGCAGGUGAGUUGUUGGAUGUUCUGUUGGUGAAGAUGAAGGAGAACAGGGCGCUGAUGGAGGAGCUGGUCACUCUGAGAGAGAGACACUGAACACGACAGAGGAAAACACAUCUCUCCAUCCCUCCUUUUAUUUCACUUUCUUUUCCCUGCCUUCGCUUCUCACCUCACUCUCUUCCUCUCCCUUACUUACCCCUCUGUCCUCUUUUCUUUUCCCUGUUCAGAUGCAGGGUUUAUAUGAUUUUGUACCCACGUGAAUUAAACUAAUUUAUGGAGUAUGUUUAAA